CCCCUUGUGGUCUAGGGGUAAGGACUAGGCAUUUUCACUGCUUCGGCCCAGGUUCGAUCUCUGGUCUGGGAA
This 72-nucleotide transfer RNA is filed under the name Sus scrofa (pig). It matches the Rfam family "tRNA". Rfam says of the family: Transfer RNA (tRNA) molecules are approximately 80 nucleotides in length. Their secondary structure includes four short double-helical elements and three loops (D, anti-codon, and T loops). Further hydrogen bonds mediate the characteristic L-shaped molecular structure. tRNAs have two regions of fundamental functional importance: the anti-codon, which is responsible for specific mRNA codon recognition, and the 3' end, to which the tRNAs corresponding amino acid is attached (by aminoacyl-tRNA synthetases). tRNAs cope with the degeneracy of the genetic code in two manners: having more than one tRNA (with a specific anti-codon) for a particular amino acid; and 'wobble' base-pairing, i.e. permitting non-standard base-pairing at the 3rd anti-codon position. The record is from Rfam by way of RNAcentral. Lineage: Eukaryota; Metazoa; Chordata; Mammalia; Artiodactyla; Suidae.